This 111-nucleotide small nuclear RNA is filed under the name Sinocyclocheilus anshuiensis. The record is from RNAcentral. Lineage: Eukaryota; Metazoa; Chordata; Actinopteri; Cypriniformes; Cyprinidae.
GUUAACAAUUAUUCCCUAAACAUGGGCAGCAGGUACAUAGAUUAGCAUAGCAGAUUAGCAUGGCCCCUGCGAAAGGAUGACACGCAAAUCCGUGAAUAAAAAUGUGGUUCU